GGCCAGAGCAGUGGCAGCAGCUGUUGGCAUCCUUAUCGCAACGUCCUCGCCUUUCUUAAGUCCUGUACCAGCUGCCGUCUCCAUAUUCUCCUCCUCCUUCUCUGUUGCCGCCAUGGACGAGCUGAGCUGAGCUCGCUCCGCCACCAUGCCGCUACUGCUGUGCCACUGCUCCGCCCCUCCAGCAGCCGCACCUCCUGCCUAUGGCCUCGCCUCGUCUCCCGCGCCACUCCUCCACCGCCGCCGCUGCCGGUGAUGGCCUGCUGCGACGUGGACACGGUGCCACCGGCGCCCUUGGCCGAGCACCGUGAAGCCACCUCCGGCCGAGCCGGGGCACCAGCAGGUGCACAUGAGUCCGGCAGAGCUCCCUCGCCACUCCACAGAUAAGCAUCCCACCCGUCGAAACCACAACCUCCGACCAGCUCCUCUGUUUUCGGUUCACGACCAGAGGCUUCGCACGACAAUUUGAAGUUCUCAGGGACCUAACUGCACAGACUGUACCCAGUGCAUAUGAGAGGGAGAAGUUUUGUGUUGAACAAGUAUGAAGCGGUUGGUGUUGAUCAAUCUUCGGAAAGGUGUCGUCGACUAGCGGUGUUAACUAAGAUCAUCCAUCAGUGGUGUUGGUGUCGUCCAACCAUGGAUUUGAUGAGGUGUCAUCGACUAGCGGUGUUAACUAAGAUCAUCCAUCAAUGGUGUUGGUGUCGUCUAACCAUGGAUUUGAUGAGGUGUCGUCGACUAGCGGUGUUAACUAAGAUCAUCCAUCAAUGGUGUCGGUGUCGUCCAACCAUGGAUUUGAUGCCCAAUCUGACUUAUGUGGUCUCUUCGUGGAACUAACCUUCUUUGCAACAAAGGCAAGCCCGGGAUGCAUUUAACCCUUUCUUGAA
Molecule: long non-coding RNA, 881 nt
Organism: Sorghum bicolor (sorghum)
Lineage: Eukaryota; Viridiplantae; Streptophyta; Magnoliopsida; Poales; Poaceae
Exons: 2
Source: RefSeq, a predicted model, not a curated record